This 328-nucleotide long non-coding RNA is filed under the name Homo sapiens (human). Its description in RNAcentral is "HSALNT0233296". Lineage: Eukaryota; Metazoa; Chordata; Mammalia; Primates; Hominidae. The record is from RNAcentral.
ACGUUUGAGACCCAGCGUCUCUAGAUCUCGUAUUUGAAUUUGUGGCGCUUGGUGUCCGCGAGUUGCCGAAUGAAGCUGAGCGUCUCAGUGGAACCAGGGAUCUCAGGGAGAACCUUUUUGUGAUGAAAACGAGAUGAAACUAUGGAAGAACCAGAGAAGCAUCAGCCUGAGAAGGACUCAACUGAUUAUUGCUGGCUUUGAAGACAGGAAGGAGCCAUGAGCCAGGGAAUGCUGGUGACCUCUGGAAGCUGGACCCCUUCAGAAAGGAAUGCAGCACUGUGACACCUUGAUCUCGCAGCAGUAGAAAACAGAUGAAUACACCUAGAUU